RNAcentral lists this long non-coding RNA (2925 nucleotides) under Nicotiana tabacum (common tobacco). RNAcentral describes it as "long non-coding RNA (NTAB_LNC017565)". The record is from RNAcentral. Lineage: Eukaryota; Viridiplantae; Streptophyta; Magnoliopsida; Solanales; Solanaceae.
GUUGAUAUUUUUCUUUUUCCUUGUUUAUUUAUGUUUUUCCCUAUUUUCUCCUAUUUAUAUUCUUUUAUGAGAAAAGAAAAAACUCAAACGUCGCGUUCUUCUCUUCAAUCCUUUUUGUAACUGAAAUUGCUUGCAACGCCUUUGCUAUUCAACUCUCUCGCUCCUGUCGCAGAUGCCUUUCGCCCUUCUAUACAACGCCCUUUCAGAGCCUUCUCCUCUAUUCUAAAUUACCACGAAUAGUUGAUUUUUUUUUUUAUUAGUUGAAGAUUUCAGCCUCAUAGGGCGAAUCGUUUGCGGCAGGAUAAUGGAAGAUUUGGUUAUCAAAAUUCAAAGGCGGAUUAGGGUGAUUUCAGAUUGAAUACAUUCCUACGACCUACGACAACAGGUAAAUGUUUACCGUCCUUCUGUUCUUCAUUUCUUGUAUUUAUUUUGAGUUUCAAUUUCCUAUUUUGUCUUCGACUCUUUGAUAGAAAUUAGUCAAUGUAUGUAAAACAUCAACAGCUUACUUCAAUUGGGUUCGGAAAGAUGGUGCGGUGGAAGAUCCAAUCUUACUUCUGAUGUCUAUAUGCCCAGGUGAGUAUAAAAUUAUAAAUUAUGGAUGCCAAUUAUAGAGUUUGAUCUAUUUCCUGUAAGGUGUUUUAAGUUGAUUUUGAUAGUAGUAGUAGUAGUAGGGACAUAUCUGGGACUAAGGAGGAGCAAAAUCAAAGUCAAUGAGUUCCCACAAGUGGGGUCUAGGAGGACUAAAGAGAAGGAAAUGAGAAAUUUAUUCGAUUGAUGCAGUAAAGUGCUUCGGCAUUGGGCUUUACUUUUCUUUUUGUGCAAUUCUUUUUUCUGCCUUUAACUAGAAGCUCCAGUUCAUUUCGGUAGUUUGUAUCUUAUCAAUGUGCAUUCAUUUGAGGCUUUGCUUGGAACUAUGAAUAUGAAAUUUGCACACGGUGGUGUAGUCUUAAUCUUGACUCCCUGUGCUGUGAGUAGAAGAAAUAGUUUACAUAAAAUUUUAUAAAUUGGUGAGAGAAGAAGAGAAUGAUAUUUAAGAAAAUUAUAUAAGGCAUGAGAAAGGCUAAGAGUGUAAUAUUCAAGAAAGCUAUAGAAGGCAUGAGAAAGGCUUUCACUUUGACGCGCAAAUAAAUAAUGAGUUUAUAUGGAAAAAGAAAGGUAUCACGGGUUCUUUAUGUUUAUCAAGCUUCAAAUGCUAGAUCUUUAAUAACCAUAAAUACACAUCUUGAUCUUUCAUACUGCUUUCAUACUAUUGAUGCAGCAUUAUCAAAGAUAAAGCUAUAUUCCGUAUAUGCAUAAAUAUCUUUUGCCCAAGAGCAUACUGAAAAAAGAAAAUGUGAUUGACAAAUUCAAAUUUUCUUUCUAUUAUUUUACAAGUUCUCAGUAUAAUGAGUGGUCCAUCAGUUUUAACUGUCUUUGGACUUUAGUGGAGUAAUGUUAUAUUUUUUUGACUCUUUUUUGUGUAGAACAGUUGAACAAAAGCUUUUACAGAAAACAGAACAUAAGUUAUUAGCUUCUCUUCUUUCGCACAUGUCUUUUCAUUAAAUCAAUACUGUUAAAGUGAUUUUGUUGGCUUUUGUUAUGUAUCCUUCUGCCGGCUAUAUGAUUGAUGUGUUCUCAAUUUAUAUAAUACUCCUUAAAUGAUAUGACUAUUAAUGACUUAAAAUAUUGAUAUCUUACUUUACUUUUAUGUUCUAAACUAUUGAUGCUUGAUUAUAGAUCAUCAUAUCAUUGCAACAACUUGUCUUGCUCUUGCUCCCUUCUGAAGUUGCUGAUUUAUCCUUCAGGUAUCUAUUGGAGAUAUGAUUGCUUGUGACAAUAAAAAUAUAAGUUUUCUUUGUUCAAUGCUUAUUGUUUGUAUCCUUUACUUAAUUGUUAUAUUUUACUUUUCUUCUGUAUACUCCUAUGUAAUUAGAGAUUAUUAUGAACCUGAUUACUAUUUGCUAGAAGACAAAGCAAGUCAAUAUAUUUUUAAUGCCUCUUGACUUAUUUUCAAAUAUAACGAGCAUGACUAUUAGCUCAGGACAAGUACUAAAUACUAUUGAUGAAGAGAUAUAAAGGCAAGCAGAGCAAAUGGAAAAAAGAGAAGAUUGAUUAAUAUAAAAAAGAAAUUAUUUGGUUGCAUGUCAAGUAAGAUAAACCUUACAUGUUGAAAUAUAUUUAUGUUUUGGAUAAUACACAUUCCUCCAUGGACUGCUUUUAGGUCUGCAUCAUAUCAUGUUCAUAAAUUUAACGCUGGUGGUGCUAAAUGCUAUUCAUGUUCAUAAUAUCGGAUGUUUCACUUCUUACUAAAAUAAUUACAUUUGCACUAUUGCAUCUGAAUUUGUGUUUUAACGUGUUUUAAAUGUGCAUUUUGAUCUAUUCUAUGACAUAGUACUUUUUGAUAGAUAAAGUAAGUUGUGAGGAGCUAGGAGCACAGGGAUAUGAAUUGAAUACCGUCUACCCAACUGAUGCGUUGAUGAUUCUAUACUUCUACAAAAGUUGGCUUGGGACCUGAAAUAUAUGAACCUUUCAGAUUUCUUGAAGAAACAUAUUUGCUAUUCUAGGAGCAUUAAUCUGCACAUUUUCAGUUGAUCUGUACUUUGAUACAGUAAAUUAUGAUACUUAUUAGAUGAAAAUUAUGGGUUUAUAUCUUAUAGUUUUCAAUAAUAGGGUGAGUUGCAUUACUUGUUGGAUGCCACUGCUUCAUUAGGGGUUGUAAGAUUGAAAUAUGAAGCCUGACCUACUGGAUUACUUACAGCUUAAGUGCUCUUGAAUUGAGAUCACAGGUUGCUUUGUCAUUUUAGGAGUACAUUGCCAAAUACUGUUCUCUGAUUCCUAAACUAUUCAUUUAUAUUGCAGAAGAAUCUAAAAUGUCUUAGGAAUAUAUAAAACAUCUACAUACAAUAUGUACAUAUUCUUUAACUGUUAUUUAUUAUUUUAAUAUUC